GAUGAACGCUGGCGGCGUGCCUAAUACAUGCAAGUCGAGCGAACAGACGAGGCGCUUGCUCCUCUGACGUUAGCGGCGGACGGGUGAGUAACACGUGGAUAACCUACCUAUAAGACUGGGAUAACUUCGGAAAACCGGAGCUAAUACCGUAUAAUCUAUUGAACCGCAUGGUUCAAUAGUGAAAGACGGUUUUGCUGUCACUACUAGAUGGAUCUGCGCCGCAUUGGCUAGUUGGUAAGGUACAAGCUUACCAAGGCAACGAUGCGUAGCCGACGUGAGAGGGUGAUCGGCCACACGAGAACUGAGACAGGGUCCAGACUCCUACGGGAGGCAGCAGUAGGGAAUCUUCCGCAAUGGUCGAAAGCCUUACGGAGCAACGCCGCGUGAGUGAUGAAGGUCUUCGGAUCGUAAAACUCUGUUAUUAGGUAAGAACAAAUUUGUAAGUAACUAUGCACGUCUUGACGGUACCUAAUCAGAAAGCCACGGCUAACUACGUG
RNAcentral lists this ribosomal RNA (497 nucleotides) under uncultured bacterium. RNAcentral's name for it is "partial 16S ribosomal RNA". It matches the Rfam family "Bacterial small subunit ribosomal RNA", at positions 28 to 507 of the family's 1533-position model. The record is from RNAcentral.